RNAcentral lists this ribosomal RNA (490 nucleotides) under uncultured bacterium. RNAcentral's name for it is "partial 16S ribosomal RNA". It matches the Rfam family "Bacterial small subunit ribosomal RNA", at positions 30 to 507 of the family's 1533-position model. The record is from RNAcentral.
AUUGAACGCUGGCGGCAGGCCUAACACAUGCAAGUCGAACGGUAACAGGAAGAAGCUUGCUUCUUUGCUGACGAGUGGCGGACGGGUGAGUAAUGUCUGGGAAACUGCCUGAUGGAGGGGGAUAACUACUGGAAACGGUAGCUAAUACCGCAUAACGUCGCAAGACCAAAAAGGGGGACCUUCGGGCCUCUUGCCAUCGGACGUGCCCAGAUGGGAUUAGCUAGUAGGUGGGGUAACGGCUCACCUAGGCGACAAUCCCUAGCUGGUCUGAGAGGAUGACCAGCCACACUGGAACUGAGACACGGUCCAGACUCCUAAGGGAGGCAGCAGUGGGGAAUAUUGCACAAUGGGCGCAAGCCUGAUGCAGCCAUGCCGCGUGUAUGAAGAAGGCCUUCGGGUUUUAAAGUACUUUCAGCGGGGAGGAAGGGAGUAAAGUUAAUACCUUUGCUCAUUGACGUUACCCGCAGAAGAAGCACCGGCUAACUCCGUG